RNAcentral lists this long non-coding RNA (15697 nucleotides) under Olea europaea subsp. europaea. Lineage: Eukaryota; Viridiplantae; Streptophyta; Magnoliopsida; Lamiales; Oleaceae. The record is from RNAcentral.
CUCAAAUCUCUCUCGAUGGAAAAGAGGCUAAAGAAAACUUCCUGCAAGUCGAUGAUUAUGGUCGAGAAAUAGAACAAGUGAGGAGCUGGGACUAUUCAAUGCAGUGUAGUUGGGAGAUUUUGAGAAUGUUGAGACUGUUUUGGAAAGGGAUCCAAAUUUUAUUCAUCGGUCCACAGUGCAUGAUCGCCACUCAGCUUUGCACAUUGCUGCUGCUAAUGGUCAGACGGAGGUGGGCUUCUUGGUAUUUCUCGAAAUUUUGAUGUUUUCUCAUUUCUGGUUCUGAUUUGGUGAUUUCAGAUUCUUUCUAUGCUCUGGGACCGAUAUGUCAAUCCCAAUUUAUUGAAUUGCCACAAGCAGGUAUGUUUAUAUUGAUCUCUUCGAAAUGACUGUAAAUAUUUGAUUUAAUUUCUUGAUUUUUAAGACUUGUUAUCUGAUAUUAUCAUUUAUAUGUGAAUGUUAGAUUGACACUCCAUUGAUGUUGGCUGCAAUGCAUGGAAAGAUCUCAUGUGUGAAGAAACUCAUUGAAGCUGGGCCGAAUGUAUUUUUUUUUCCCAUUCCCUUAUCUUCUAUAAUAAGACGUUUUCAAGUAAUCUGUAUUUAUUUAUAUGCAUUUACAUGUGUGUUGGUGGUCAUUAUUGACUGUGUUAAUCGUGAAUAUUGGGCCAGAUUUUAAUUUUCAAUUCACUAAAUGAAGGACUUGCUUACACUAUUCAGCUUAUUAUGGUCAUUCUGAUUGCCUUGAAGGUAUUCUUUAGACUGCUUGCAUCUCCCAGGUGGCUGUUUCAUGGUAGGUUUCUCAGGGAUAGAUUAACUUUAUGCUGUUAAGAAUUAUGCCUUAGUCACAAUUAAGAGUACAAUAUUGAGUAAAACGAAAUUAGAGAAACAUGUGCAUACAUAGAUUUAUAACGGUUCACCCUUAACUUGAGAGUCACGUCCACCCGCCACUUCAGGUUGAACUGUGAAGAAGAAAAGAGGAUUAUUAUGGCGAAUCAUGCCUCUCAACGCCUCGAAAAUCCUUUGUAUAGUCUUGAACCUAAAUAUACCUAAAACUUAACUUAUUAGGCACAUAAUCCAAUUUAUUGUUGUUAGGAUCUUCCUCUUCCUGCUCACGGUGAUUUCCGGGCUCAGUUAACCAUUAAACCGAAUUCAACAUCAAAUUGGAGUCACCAAGAACCGCCGGCGCCUCUUCCCACUUGGUUGCUUUCCUCCUUUGCUUUGUUAAUUUAAUCCACACACUUAGGAUGGAUACCACUCAGGUAAGGUUCACAAAGACUCAAGCAACUAGGAUGGAGAAGAAAUCACGAAGAAGAUGAAGGCAGAAAAGCAUGGCAGAACAUGGUAGCUUCUAUCUCUUACGGCUUCAACUUGGACGGGCUCAACUAGGAUGAAAACACCAAUAUAUAUAGUAAGUCAAGUGGCCAACAUAAGGUAAGUAAGGAUAUGGUAAGUAGGCUCGACUAGGGUUAACUUCCAAUGGAAAGAAUCAACAAGCCACAAAGAGUAUUAGCCGUCCAAUAGGUAAAGCAACGUUUGGUCGGUUCAUCCAUUAUUCGAUGUUGAAUUAUCGUUCAGUCAUUCAUGUCGACUGAUAAAAUUGGUUCUCAUCAUCGCCCGGGAGGUCGUUUGACAACAUAAUGUCUAACAACCUCCACCUUGGUGUCAAAGGACCUGCAAAGAAAAACGUUUUUCCAUUAGUGACACCUCUAACAGAAAAAUCGAUAAAAUUGAAAUCAUUUACCUGUACCGAUGUUUAGAAGCUCUUUGCAACUUCUAAACUUUACCAGUGGCAGCACUUUCGUGCCCAUAUCUGAAGGAUUGUACUGUGUGUGAAUUUUUUCAAGUCUUACUACUUCUUGUGAUAUUAUAUCCCUAAUGAAGUGUAACCUAACAUCGAUAUGUUUAGUGCGUUCAUGAAAAAUAGGAUUCUUACACAAAUGUAUGGAUGAUUGACUAUCAGAAUACACAACCACAUACUCAUUCAAGACACUAAGUUCAUGAAGUAGACCUCUAAGUCAUAGAGCCUUUUUAAUUGCUUCAGUGGUGGCAAUAUAUUCUGACUCUGUAGUGGAUAGUGCAACUAUGUGUUGUAACUGUGAUUUCCAACUAACACACGAAUUUGAUAAGGUGAAUACGUAAGAGGAAGUUGAUUUCCUACCAUCCAUAUCUCCUGCAUAGUCAGCAUCUACAAAACCCUUUAAUUUCAAGCCUUCUUUAUUAGCACUAAAUUUUAGACCCACGUCACUUGUACCCUUCAAAUAUCUUAAAAGCCACUUUAAUGCUUCCCAAUGUUCAGGACCUGGAUUAGACAUGUACCUACUGAGAGUAUUAAUAGCGAAUCCUAAGUCCGGUCUAGUGCAAACCAUCAAAUAUAUUAUGGAACCAGUCACAUUUGAGUAUGGAAUUUUACUCAUGUAUUCCACUUCACGUUCAUUGCAGGAAGCUUGUUCCUUAGAUAGAACAAAAUGAUUUGCAAGAGGCAACGUGACAGGUUUGCAGUCACUCAUAUUAAACUUUUUCAACACUUUUGAUAUGUAUGGGGACUGAUGUAAGAAUACGAUGGAAUUUGACCUAUUUCAUUCUAUUUCCAUGCCUAGAAUCCUUUUAGCCUUUCCUAGGUCUUUCAUGUCAAAUUCUCCACUAAGAUCUGCUUUUAUAUUGUUUAUCCACUUAGGAGAUGAUCCAACUAAAAGCAUAUCGUCCACAUAGAGCAACAAAAACAAAUAAUUGUUAUCAAUCUCGUUGUGUUGAAAGUAUAGGUAGUGAUCGAAUUUACUUCUUUGAAAUCCUAUAGUGAGUACAAAGGAAUCAAACAUCUUGUACCACUGUCUAGGUGAUUGCUUUAGACCGUAUAGGGAUCUUUUCAGAAAACACACAUAGUCAGGUUUUAACUUGUCUUUAAAACCUUUUGGUUGAUUCAUAAAGAUUUGUUCAUCAAGCUCUCCAUGUAAAAAGGCGAUUUUUACAUCGAGUUGUUCAAGUUCCCAGUCAAAGAGCGCAACCAAUGCGAGCAUGACCCUAAUAGUAGUGUACUUGACAACUGGUGAGAAAAUCUCGUUAUAAUCAACACCUUCUUUCUGUGUGUAACCCUUUGCUACUAACCUAGCCUUAAACCUUAAGGGUUCUGAACUACUAGUACCUUCUUUAACCUUAAAGACCCACUUGCAAUCAACGAUUGAUUUAUUCUUAGGUCUCGGUACUAACUCCCAAGUUUGAUUCUUUUCUAGAGAACUCAUCUCUUCUUUCAUAGCCUCAAGCCACUCCUUAGAUUGACCACUGUUCAUAGCCUCUUCAAACGUUUCUGGCUCCCUAUCAACUAGUUCUUCGUAACUAGCGUAUGCAAAAUCCAAUUCAGAUUCAUAUCCGAAUCUCCUAGGUUCUCUCGUUUGUCUUCUCUCUCUAUCUCUAGCUAAGUUAUAGUUAGCUAGUGGAUUUUCUUCUUCAGGAUGCUCUUCUAUCACUACUUCAUUUUCCUCUUCAGGUUCUUGGACCUGAAUCUCCACCUCACUCGAAGUACUAGGUACUGAUGUGUUAAAUUUUCCUAACUCCACCUUAAACCGACUUCUUUCUUCACUUGAUUCAGUUUCACUUAUUGGUUCGGUUUCGUUCUUUAGACAAGGCAUCUCUUUCUCAUUAAAUGUGACAUCCCUACUCACGAUGAUCUUAACUCCUUUUUGGCUUCUAUCCCAUAGCCUAUAUCCCUUAACCCCUUCGGGAUACCCUAGAAAGACACACUUCCUGGCUCUUGGUUCUAACUUUUCCUCACUUUGAUGAGAGAAAGCAGCACAGCCAAAUGCUUUAAGCAUCGAGUAGUCACCCAAUUUUCCAGACCAUUUCUCAUGUGGAGUAUCACCAUUUAAUGCAGCUGAUGGAGUCAAAUUUAUUAGAUAACAGGCAGUGACAACGGCUUCACCCCAAAAUGACUUAGGAACCCCAGAACUUAACAUCAUGCAGCGCACUUUGUCAAGUAUGGUCCUAUUCAUUCUUUCUGCCACCCUGUUUUGCUGGGGGGUAUAAGGGACCGUUUUGUGCCUUGUUAUUCCACUUUGAAAUGUGUAGGAUAGCUUAAGUCAUAAACAGAAUUCUAGGCCGUUAUCUGUCCUUAAAAAUUUGAUCCUCUUGCAGCGCACUUUGUCUAGUAUGGUCCUAUUCAUUCUUUCUGCCACCCCGUUUUGCUGGGGAGUAUAAGGGACCGUUUUGUGCCUUGUUAUUCCACUUUCUUUACACAUCCUAUCGAAUUCAGUAUUACAGAAUUCUAGGCCGUUAUCUGUCCUUAAAAAUUUGAUCCUCUUGCUAGUUUGGUUUUCCAUUUGUUUCUUCCAAUUGUUAAAGUUAUGGAAGGUUUCAGUUUUGUCUUUCAAUAGAUAGACCCACACUUUCCUGAUGUAGUCAUCUAUGAUAGAUAGGAAAUACCUAUUCCCACCCGAUGUGGGAUUACUAGCAGGACCCCACAGAUCAGAAUGCACAUAUUCAAGCAUGCUUUUAGCCUUAUGCGUACUGGUGGAAAACGACACUCUAUGGUGCUUCCCAAGCACACAGUGAUCACAGAACGAUAGGUCAGACACACAGUCAUUACCAAAUGCACCUUUUUCAUUAAGUAGCUUAAAUCCUUUAAUGCUUACGUGUGCAAGCCUACUAUGCCACGUGUGUGUGUGAUCGAUUUUGGCGGAAGAAAUAGAGGAGUUUGGUCCUCUAAUCACUUCCCCAGUAGUGAUAUAAAUGUCGUUUUUCUUGAUUCCCUUAAUAGAGAUUAACGUACCCUUCAUCAUUUUAAACAUACUGUUUUCAAUUUUACAGGUGAAGUUGUCUUUCUCAAGUCUUCCUACUGAAAUUAAAUUCCUAGACAAUUCCGGAAUAUAUCUAACUUCUUUUAACACGUACACAAAGCCUGUGUUAAAUUUUAUUUUUAUAUCUCCAAUUCCAACAAUUGUAUAGGAGAAGUUAUCACACAGAACUACUUGUCCAUCAUUAGAUUCUUGCAAGUUUUCAAACCAGUUCUUUUCAGAUGUCACAUGAAAAGACGCACCAGAAUCUAAUAUCCAUUCAUGCAUGUGAGAAUUAGUAGUUAGAUUUAAUUCAGUAGUGUAUGCGACUGGACUAGUGAUCACAUAGACUUCACCGUUUUCAGUAUCGGAGGUAGAGGAUAACACAUUUACCUCAUCUCUUUCCUUAACCUUCUGUUUUCCUUUUUCUUUAUGACAGUCUUUUAUAAAAUGCCCUGUGCCUCCACAGCCAUAGCAUUUUCUACCCUUAGUUCUCGACUUUGAUCUAGGUCUACCAUUCCCCUUCUUUUUCCAACUAUUACUACUUGAUUCGCCACUACUUUGGUAUCCAUCAUGACUGGCUUGCCUAAAUUGUGUUCUACCCCGCAUCAUAUGCAACUCUCCACUCCUCCUAUCCUGUUUUUCAGCCUUCAUUUCCAUCUCUUUACUUCUAAGAGAAUCUACGACAAUUUCAGGUGUUAGCGUGUCCCUACCAUACUUAAUAGCAUUUUUAACUUCUUUAUAAGAGUCCGGGAUUGAAUUGAGCAAGAUAAUGGCCUUAUAGGUUUCAGACACGGCUUCGUCACAAUUGACAAUAUCUUGCACCAAUUUAUUAAAUACAUCUAGAUUGUCGUCGAGAUCCUUUGAAGGAUCCAUUUUAAAGCUGAAGAAUCGUUCGAGUAGGUAGAGUUUAUUCGGUGUAGAUUUAAGCAAGUAUAAGUCUUCUAGUCUUUUCCAAAGUUCUUUGGUGGUUUUUAGUUUUCCCACUUUUCUUAAGACGGCGUCAGACAAGUGUAAUAUUAUUGAGGUAUAGGCAAGCUCAUCGGCUUCCUCUUUUUGUUCUUUUGAGAUAUCAGGUGCAAAAUUGCCUUCGAUGGCUUUUGACACCUUUUGUUGGACUAGUAUGCCUCUCAUCUUUUGUUGCCAGAUAGAGAAGUCCCCUUUACCGUUAAAAAUUCCCAAAUCAAAAUUAUGUGUUGUCAUUGGUUAACACCCUAAUUAAACCACACGAAGUAGUAUUGGGAAACGUGAUAAGGUAAUGUCUUGUUAAUUAUUAGCAAAGGUAAUAAUGAACCUAAACGCUACGUCCACCAAGGAAUAACAAGCACUUUAAAUUAAAAGAACAAAUACUUAAUUAACGCAAGUAAUCCUAAUUCUAGCACACGCAAUGGUUACCCCUUCACGGUAACCCCAAAACCUAACGAUCACCCCACACGAUGAUCUUGCUAUUGCUGAAUUUAAAUGGAUUAAGCCAAUUUACCAGAGCGGACCUAUCUGAGUCCGUAAAGUGGAGAAAAACGAGCUUGCUGUUGAAUUUCAAUCGGCGUCGUACCAAAGGGCAAAAUCGUCCAACUUUUUCUGUGUAACCUGAAACACAAAACAAAGUAUAUCAGCGCGUUCAGGAGAUCGAAACAAACAAGUUACCUGAAGACUGCGUCGCCGGAAAACCGCCCACGCGCCACCGCCGGCGGCCCACGCGCCGCCGCUCCCGGAGCGCCUCGGCCUGCUGAUGAUGGGUAUGGCCUCCGUUUGUCCAACCGAGCUUUGGUUUGUGAGUAAUUGCAAAUUUUCAGAUUCGGAUUCUAGGUUGUAGGUGCGAAAAUCAGCCGAUUUUGAGCCGUUUUUUGCCACCCAAGCUCUGAUACCAGAUGUUAGGACCUUCCUCUUGCUGCUCACGGUGAUUUCCGGGCUCAGUUAACCAUUAAAACAGAAUUCAACAUCAAUUUUGGAGUCACCAAUACCGUCGGCGCCUCUUCCUCUUUGGUUGCUUUCCUCCUUUGCUUUGUUGAUUUAAUCCACUCACUUAGGAUGGAUACCACUCAGGUAAGGUUCACAAAGACUCAAGCAAUUGGGGUGGAGAAGAAAUCACGAAGAAGAUGAAGGCAGAAGAACACGGCUGGGCGCGACAGUUUCUCUAACUCUCACGGCUUCAACAUUGGACGGGUUCAACAAGGGUGAAAACACCAAUAUAUAUAGUAAGUCAAGUGGCCAACAUAAGGUAAGUCAGGAUAUGGUAAGUAGGCUUGACUAGGGUUAACUUCCAAUGGAAGGAAUCAACAAGCCACAAAGAGUAUUAGCCGUCCAAUAGGUAAAGCAACGUUUGGUCGGUUCAUCCAUUAUUCGAUGUUGAAUUAUCGUUCAGUCAUUCAUGUCGACUAAUAAAAUUGGUUCUCAUCAUCGCCCGGGAGGUCGUUUGACAACAUAAUGUCUAACAAUUAUUAAUCUUUGUUUUUUUCCACUAAAAGCAAAAGAUUGAACUGCUGGACUAUAUAAAAUCACAGAAACCAAUAACUUUGUAAUACUUUCCUCUAACCGACCGUAUAUGAAUUUUAUCCUCAUUCAAGAUUCGAUAAUUAGGUACAAGUAUAAAUAACUAUUUUGUCCUUCUAAUUAUUAUAACUAACUUGAGUAUCAUUUUUUUCAACGGUUCUGUGAACUAAUCAUAAAUGUUGAAGUUUAGCCAUCGUUAAAUACUGAGUUCAAAUUUUAACUGUUCAACAAAAAAUACUUAAGUAGUCGUUCUACUCAUUUUUCAGAGUAACGGUUCCCCAUCACGAAUUCAUGUUCUUUACUUCGCUCAUUCUUAAGUUUCCAACUCGUGAAGAUAUUUGUCUAAUCAAAUUGAUCUCAUCCAUUGAUAAAUCAAAUGACCAUUAAAAUCACGAAAAUAUAUACAUAAUCAUGUUAUGGGAUUUAGAUGAAAUACAUAGUGGUCAAGUGAAAUUUAAUUCUUCGUGAGGUCAUGUUAUAAAAUUAAACUCAACGUGUGGUUCGUUCAAAACACUCCAAGUGUACUAGUAUCACUUUUAACUAUUUUUGCGAUAAGAAUAAAUUACAAACUUAAAUAGUGAAUCGGUCAAUACUACAACCUUUCAAUACAAGGUGCCAACUCUUAUACAUUAGUUGUGAACAAAUUACUUAUAAUAAUCAAAAAAUAAGUUAUGACACAUUGUACUUAUCAACGCAAUUACCCAACUUAUAUUAUUACAAGUGAUCAUAGAUAUUUAAUUCACAUGCUCACUAAUAAAUAAUACAAUAAAUAAAUAAAAUCACAAUUUAUUUAUUAUAAAUCAUUAUUUUAUCAUAGCAAAAUAUAUUAUAUUUGUACGCAACCCAAUAGAAAACUGGCUUAGGAAAAUAAUAAUAAAAAAAAAAAAAAAAAGCGAAAACUUGAGAUCAAGAAAAUAUAAAUUUACUAUAGCAACUAUGUCAGAUAUGCUUGUAACAAAUCUCUUUAAAACAAAAUAUGUUGCCACGGAUAAUCUACCUUGUGUCAAGCUAAUGCUUCGUCAUUCUCCCUGCAAGAGAAGAUUCAUCCUGAAAUCUAUAGCAACUAUUUAUUUAUUGCUUAGCUGUGUCAUGCCAAGAGAUUGGUCUGGCAUAACAGAUUUCUUACAUUAUCAUAAAGAAUUUUUAACAAACGGCUUAAAUACUUGAGCUAUAUUCGUACAUGUAAUUUCAAUUUUGUCAAUCGCUUCUUAUAGUACACUUUUUUCAUUUACAAUGUCCAAAAUGGUAGGCCAUUGCAAGCCUCGUUUGAAUCAAAUAUCCAUUCGCCUCCCAAAAUUCAAAUGAAUGAAAAGAUUUCCUUUGUUGUUAGAGUCCUUCGUUGAGGAUUGCCCGACCAUUGCAUUUGCACACCGUUGUAAUAGCUAAUCAACCUUCUUCGAGAACACUUUGAUUUGUUGAUGAAGUUGUUUUAUGUUUAUCAGCUGCGUCCACAAGCACGUAUGUCACAUUUGUGCAUCCUCAGAAUGUCAUGGACUGCAAAAAUGAUGAAUAAGCCUAAGUAUACAACUGUUGAAUCCAAUCACCACAUCCAAUCACUACUUCACACCAGUCAUGACACAUAAGACCGUUGACCCACCAUUAGACGCUCUGCAUACAUGGCCUACCACAUGGACAUCACGUUGCGAUCAUCUUGUCUAUGCCACCUCUAAAGCGUCUAAUGCAUCCUUAGUGAUAGGCGUCGUCGCAUAUGGACGUCUUAAUGGUUCCGUUGCACUAUCUUUAGAACUUGUGGCUAGUUAUAGCCAGGUGUUGUGUAAAAUUACAAUUUAAAACUGUGAACUAUCUCUUUUCGAUAUUGGAAUCCUUAUACCAAAUAAAGACACUAAAAGUUUUUAAUCGUAUUUUCAUCAUGGAUACUUUGAAGACUUACUCCAAUUUACACAUUUAUCUAUUUAAUCACUGUCAUGACAAGGAUUAAAUGCCAAUAGUUGCAUUAAAAUAUGAUACGAGUCCACACCAAGCAUGUGAGAAAAUAUUGGAUUGUUGCUAGACCAUAUUUUUCCUUAAUCUGUAAUAGAUAUAUUGGAUCAUCUUCAUUUUAAUUUCCAUCAGAAAAUAUUUAUUUUCCCCAGAAAUUCCACUGAAGGGACUCUUUGUUGCUAGAUAAAUGACAAACACGUAAAUUAUCCUAUGACAAAGGUGCAUGCCAAUGACUAUAAGAGGGAUGGCGGCAGGUGAGUUCGCAAGGCUGGGUGUGGGAUGGGCGCAGUUAUUCGGUGCCCGGGAUGGGUGUGGGCAGAUUAAUUUAAUUUGAUAAUAUUAUCAUUUAAAAUUAAAAUAUUGAACUAACGCCUAAUUUUUACAUUUUUAAACUUAAUGUCUGAAAAUUGAUUUGGUGCAUACUUAAUACCUAACUUAUUUUAUUUUAUUUUUCCGUUGUUAAAUAGCAACUUUUUGGGCCUAUGAAGUUUUAAUUCUUUUAAUAAAAAAUAUGCUUAUAAGUAAAGUUGGUGCCGGGUCAUCCGUUUAUACGGUUGGAACUUAUAAUUGUCCCUUCUUUUUUCGAUUUUUAAUUCAAAAGUGAUUUUUAGUUAUAAUCGAAUCAAUUUUAAGACUAGUUUUCAAUUUUUCCAGUUCAAUUGGUCGAUUCAAUUCGAUUUCAACAAUAUUGAUAAAUAUGGUAGGAGAGUGUAAAAAUACUUAAUCCCUGUUUGGUUUUGUUAAAAUAGAUUUUGAUAAAUAAUAAUAAUGAUGAUGAUGAUGAAGUGCUAUUGAAAACUUAAUAAAAAUAGUGUGUUUCAUAAAAUGUGCGAUUAAAAUUAUUAAAAAUUACAUUCAUUCCUACUUUUUAACUUAUCAAUUUAAAUGUAAGCUAUAAAAUUUAUUUAUUUAUUUAUUUUCAAAAAUUAGGUGUAUCACACCCCACCUCUACCUACCAACCAAUCACAAAUCCUAAUUUAUUUUUUUAUCCAUUCUCCAAGCCACAAUUACAUCCACACCAGAAUGAUUGUCGUCCAUCACCAUCGUUUGCCGCCCCACCACGCAGUCACUGACAGCUACCUGUUGUGCACCACAUAAGCAAUGCUUUGGCGUUGUUCGCAGCAUCUAGCGUCAAUGCUACUAGUAGAGAAAAGGGUUGGAGGGAAAAAAACAAUUUGGAUGAGGAUUUGUGGAUCAUGGCCUCGAGUGCAAUUUGUAAAAUUGUAAAUGAUGGUCUUCGUCGUUGUGGUUGGCAGCGACGGUGGCGGCGACGAUGAUAGUUGCGUGGGAUAAAUAACAUUUUUGAUCAAUUAUUUGGGUUAUUGUGACCAAUCAAAUGAACAAUUCGUGAUUAGUAAAUAAUAUUUAAUCGAUAAAAUGAGUAAUUUGUGGCCAAUAAAUAAUUUAUUAUUUAAAAAAUAUACGAUUAUCACUGAAUUUGUAAUCGUACUCACAAUUUGUAUUUUUGUGAAUGUGACCUUAUGCAAUUUGUAACCAUAAUUGUGUGACAUUUGUGACCUUGACCUUUUAACUCGUUGUCACAUUUACCCCCCGUUUGGCCUCCAUUAUUUUUUAUUAUAAUUGGAGAAAUAGUAUUUUUUGAAAAAUGAAUGAUUGUAAAAGAAUGAAAAGUUUUUAUUUACGUGUAAUAUUAUUUUAUUGAAGAUUAUGUGGUAGAGAGAAAAAUUUAAUUUAAUUUAAUUUGAUGAGAUUUAAAGGGAGCGAAAUGGGGUUUUAAUUUUUGAAAAUUUUCACAAGUUUCUUAUUCUCGAAAGUGUAUCUUGAAGUUAUUGUAAUUAUGUAUUCGUCCCAUAAAAUUAAUAUUACUUGAACAUAAAAUUUUAUUAAUUUUUUCCAGCUAAACCAAACAUGGUCUUAUUUUCCAAUAAUUUUUAGAGAAGGAAGGGAAAAAAAAGAAAAAGAAACAACAAAUAAAAAAUUUGGCAAAAUAUUUGUCCUCAUUUAAAACAAGUUAAAAUAAUAUUUGAACAUAAAGUUUCAUCGGAAUUAAAAUAUGCUGACUGAUUGAAAGUUAACAAUAAAUUUAAAUUAAAAAUUGAAGAAAAUAAAGAGACGAUAAACAGAGAUGGAAAACCUUUCACAAUUAAAGUUUAUAACAAUAUGUGAUUAGACAUCAAUAUAGCGACCUUAUGUAUAAACAUUGGCCUAAUUAAUUGUUCCAAUGGUCAUUGAAUUUUGGCCUAAAUAAUAUUUUUGGCAUUUUUUUAUACAAGCGGCCGGCGUGGGUGGGGUUUUGGUCUUCUUUUUAUACAAGCGGUCCCGCGUGGGACCGCCUGCUGUGAGUGUGUGUACGCACAGCAUAAUUGAUUCAUUUAAGCGACGCCCAGAAGGAUGAACGCCACUUUCUUGAUCAUCAUCCUCUCCAUUACAGAAACCAGAUUAUGUAUCCCAGACUAAUUUUAUUAAAAUGUGCAACUUUACUGUUGUUAAUUUUCUGCAGGAUGACUUUAUCACAAAAUGUCAUUGAAACUCUGCCAGGGUAUCCUGGCAAACUUCCAUUCAGACUUGAAACUGGGUGAGCUUCUCUAUUUCAUUUUCCUCCGACAAAAUAAGCAGUUAUCUGAUGUUCUUUUGCAGUUACGUCGGUAUAGGAGAAUCGGAAGAAGUGCAGCUAUUUUAUUAUUUCAUCGAGUCUGAAAGGAACCCAAAAGAUGAUCCCUUAAUGAUUUGGCUCACUGGAGGCCCGGCUUGCUCUGGUCUCUCAGGUCUUAUAUAUGAGAUGGGUAUGUUUCGGGUCUUUAUACUGUUUUUGGCUCAAAAUUGAAUUUGCUAUUAACCGUCAAAGUAAAAAAGUUUGUCCCUUCUCUCACCGCUGACGCUUUUUGAUGGGUGAUUAAAGCAAGUGGAGGGUUGAUUUGAAAUCUUACUUCAACCUAUUUAUGAAAAUCAUGUAGAUCAUUAGGCCUUUGAUAAAAAUAAUUAAGGCAUGUAAGUGAAGGAGCAUAAGUUUUGUUGAAAGGAUUACUAAGUUUGCCCCCAUUCUAAAAACUUAACUUUAGAAAAGGCGAUUCAACACAUUUUUGAUGCGGCACGAACUUGAACAAGUAUAUUUACAUAGUUAGGGCUGGACAUGGUCCGAUUCGGUUUGGUUCUUACGAGAACCGAACCGACCCGAAAUUUUCGGGUAUUUAGCAAGUAGAACCGUCGAGUCCAAAUUUAAUUACGGAACCGUUUGAGUUCGGUUUCAUUCGAUUCGGUUCGGUCCGGUUCGGUUCCUUUCGGUUCCGUAUUAUAAUUAAAUUUUUUAAUAUAUACAAAGUUACGUUAAUUUAAUUAAUGAUAUAUUUAAUAUUAGCUCUUACAAAAUAACGUAGUUCAAUCUUAUGUGUUUCACGUCGCUCUUUGCUGAAUUUUUCAUAAAUUUGAUUAUUAAAAUUACAGAAAGAGAAAGAUAACGAGCUCAAAAUAAUUAAGAGAGAUGUUCUAGAGUUUUAAUUCGAUUUUCUCCGAUAGAAACGACACUACAGUAGAAUAACUGAUUUGGAUAAAAUUGAGGUCAAUUUGAUUAAGUCGAUUUUGAACUGAAUAUUAGAAAUAGGAAAAUCAUAUUUUGUGAUUUGAACGAAAUUAACUAGUUAAUAAAUUUAUUUAGAAAAAAUAAAAUAAUUUUACUUAUUUAAAAUAAAUUAAUUUAAAAAAUUACGGAGAUUCGAUUUUUAUUCGAUUUUUCGGGUCUUGGCCUAGAACCGAGAACCGAACUAUACCCGUCGGUUCUUGAUUCAAAUACCUGAAUGGGUAUUUAACUUGAGAAGAAUCAUCGGGUUCGGUUCUAUUCGGUUCGGGUUCAGUUCGGUCGGUUCGGUUCGGUUCGAGAGUUUUGUCCAGCCCUAUACAUAGUGCUUGAAUUAAGCCACGGCUGGAUUGAAAAUUUUACAUCUUUUAUUAUUAUUAUUAUUAUUAUUAUUAUUAUUACNAGUGGAGAAAAACGAGCUUGCUGUUGAAUUUCAAUCGGCGUCGUACCAAAGGGCAAAAUCGUCCAACUUUUUCUGUGUAACCUGAAACACAAAACAAAGUAUAUCAGCACGUUUAGGAGAUCGAAACAAACAAGUUACCUGAAGACUGCGUCGUCGGAAAAUCUCCCACGCGCCGCCCACGCGCCACCGCCGGCGUCCCACGCGCCGCCGCCGUCGCCACGCGCCACCUCUCCCGGAGUGCCUCGGCCUGCUGAUGAUGGGUAUGGCCUCCGUUUGUCCAACCGAGCUUUGGUUUGUGAGUAAUUACAAAUUUUCAGAUUCGGGUUCUAGGUUGAAAAUGCGAAAAUCAGCCGAUUUUGAGCCUUUUUUGCCACCCAAGCUCUGAUACCAGAUGUUAGGAUCUUCCUCUUCCUGCUCACGGUGAUUUCCGGGCUCAGUUAACCAUUAAACCGAAUUCAACAUCAAAUUGGAGUCACCAAGAACCGCCGGCGCCUCUUCCCACUUGGUUGCUUUCCUCCUUUGCUUUGUUGAUUUAAUCCACACACUUAGGAUGGAUACCACUCAGGUAAGGUUCACAAAGACUCAAGCAACUGGGAUGGAGAAGAAAUCACGAAGAAGAUGAAGGCAGAAAAGCAUGGCAGAACAUGGCAGCUUCUAUCUCUCACGGCUUCAACUUGGACGGGCUCAACUAGGAUGAAAACACCAAUAUAUAUAGUAAGUCAAGUGGCCAACAUAAGGUAAGUAAGGAUAUGGUAAGUAGGCUCGACUAGGGUUAACUUCCAAUGGAAAGAAUCAACAAGCCACAAAGAGUAUUAGCCGUCCAAUAGGUAAAGCAACGUUUGGUCGGUUCAUCCAUUAUUCGAUGUUGAAUUAUCGUUCAGUCAUUCAUGUCGACUGAUAAAAUUGGUUCUCAUCAUCGCCCGAGAGGUCGUUUGACAACAUAAUGUCUAACAAUUGUGUUCGGCAUUUUCCCUCUCGAAUUAGCUCUAGAUUCUAAUUUGUGUGCAUAAGAUGCUGAGAACAAUGCUUCUUUUCAACUAUUAUAAACUAGAUGAAAGUCAUCAGAUUUUAUAAAUGAAAACUACAACCAUCAAGAAUCUAAAACCACAACAUACACUCCAGGCAAGUGGGCAUGUAUUGCAACAAAUGCAUGUUUUUUUUAUAAAUAAUAGGGAAGAACUAAGCAAAACAUUGAUAACAAAUACUGAUUAUACGCAACAAAUGCACGAUUAUGGCAGAAAAAUAACCAUGACGAUAUGGAAAUAUCUGUAAUAAUCUCGCCCAAAAGCAUUCGUCAGCGCACAUUCAUUUUCCAAAAACACGUGAGCUUCCAUGCAGCCCUCGGCCCAUGAGUGAAGAAACAGGACUAUACCCCAACCAUGGAACAUCCCACUUCUGAUUGGUUAAUAAGCUCACUUUUUGGAUUUUCAUUUGUUUUGAGCUCUUUUCUUGAUUUGAUUUGUGGCCUUUUCUUAUCUGGUACUAGGGAUUGUGAGUGGUCAUGGAAUAAUUAUCCAUUGCUUGGAGUUUAUUUCUUGAGAAGUGAUUGGAGCAUGUAUAGUUAAAAGUAAGAAAAACUUACACAGAAAUGUGAAAAUGAUAUUUUAUUUUAUUUUUUGGUUGAAAAAAAUGGGAAAGAAAUCAGUUUCAAACAAGGGUUUAACUUUAAAUCCCAUCUUUGAUUGAAUUUUUGCUCAUUUUAUUGCUGUUUUUAUUUGUUUUAAGUUUUCUUUUCUUGUUUGGUGCUUGGGGUAGUGAUGACUAAAUGGUGGUGGAAUGUUUAAACUUCACAUCUUUAAUGCCUUUUUUGCUCUAUUUAUGUGUAUUAAUUUGUUUUGAGCUUUCUUUUCUUGAUUUGAUUUGUGGGUUAUUCUUGUUCGGUGCUUGGAGGUAGUAAUAAUGUUGGGUUUUUUUAUAUCCAAUAAAUCCCUGGGUACGAUGUUAACAUGAGUUAAUGUAUUUCAAAGGCAUAGGCCGAUGAAUGAAAUAAGUCUAACAACCAAGUCCAUGAGAUCCAUCCGGUCCAUUGCAUUCCCUCUUGGAUAGCUUGAAUCUUGGCCCUUCUAGCUUUCUUAAUGGUCCUAUUAAAAAACCUAACCCUAGCAAACUUAUAAGGAAUAAACCCUAGCCACAUUCUAGUAUGAUUUGUGAGAAAAAUAGAGGAAAUUCGGCUACCCUUUGAAGAGUGAAAAAAAGGCCUAAAGAACUAAGACUAAGCUUGAAAGUAGCUUUUUAGUUUUUCCACGAGACAUUUUUGAGCCUUUUAAAAGGUUAUUACUCUUUUUGGGUUUUUAAUUCUAGAACUUACUAUAGUACUUCUGCUAUUUUUAAUGAUGCAGGAUUAUAUAAUCCUGAAUGUUGCUGCAUUUAAUGAGAUUGUGGCAUGAACUUCUUGAACCUGAUUGGCUGCUUUCAGCAAAAAGCUGGAAAUUUGUGAUGGCUCACUCGGGUGUAAUGGAGGCCACAUGAAAUUUCUGGAAGGAAACUGCUUUUAGAGCUAAUUUGUUGAUAGGUGGUUAGUUCUUUUUUUCUUAAAACAUAUGAAGUGGAUUGUAACCCAGUGGAAGGUAG